Molecule: long non-coding RNA, 292 nt
Filed under: Malus domestica (apple)
Lineage: Eukaryota; Viridiplantae; Streptophyta; Magnoliopsida; Rosales; Rosaceae
Description: long non-coding RNA (MDOM_LNC018108)
Source: RNAcentral
GCUUUCCUAAAUCUCAUUCAUACUCUGGCCAGAGGUUCUAAAUCAUAUCAUAGAGUAUUCUCCCUCAAACGAUUUGAAGGUUAGAGAUCCCUUGUUGCGCAUUCACUUGCCUCCAUGGCUAAGUAGUUUAACCCCAACGAUGCCAUGGACACCCGAGGAUGGGGUGACUUUGACAUAAUCAAAGAUCAAGGACUUAACCACAAGACAACUGUGAUGCCUCAUGUCAAAGGACUACUUUGCAUUAUCCCAACCAUGAGUUCUCAUGUGACAUGAAUAUGAGAACUCUUCGUUG